GUGAGAUAUAAAGUUGUGUAGCACUGGACAUCUUAUUGCUACAUUCACAAUGGUAUCCAUCUGUAGGGAAGUCAUACUCCUCUUGACUCUGAUCAGUUAUGGGACUUGUUCUGGGUCCAGCAGAGAAGAGUGUGGACAGACGGCUACCUUUACCAACUGUAAAUGUCAGGUUCAUUAUGAAUUCUCCAAGAAUGUGUCUUCUCGUUGGUUUGGAAUUUCGAACAGCAGUAAAGGGGAUUUGACGUGCAUAAAGGAUAAGCAUGGUACAAAAUCCUUCCUUAUCUACAGUAAACAGAACAUGACAGAGAGCUAUCUACUUCAUCUAGUGGAAUCACACGAGGAUAUUUUUAAGAAGUGUUUUAAUGAAACCAACCCUCUAGAAUGUCAUUGUCAACGACUUGAUGAUCCUGGAAUAUCUUCCAACGUUUCUUUCCUGCUGACCGGUCCAUCAGAUUGCAGCCAACAGACGACGACAGGCUCUCUGAUGUCAGACAGUACAACCGUGUCUGUGUGUCAAAGAAGUACGGAGGGACACAAUAAGACAAACAGUGAGACAGACAUCCAUACAAUGUGUGUUUGUCUGUGUGCAUGGGUGUGUGGGAUGUCCCGUUUGUUACCAAAUUUGCCCCUCUCUUCUUUUUUAUCUAGCUCUUUCGUUUUCUUGUUGACAAAUUUGAACGGGUACAAAUAUCAAUUUUUGGUCAAAACAAUGCAAGGAUGAAAAAUGUAAAGAAUGUAAAAGGCCCGAAAGGUAAAUAAAGUAAACUAAAUUAAUUAGAAUAAUUAACUUUUAAAUUUCAUGUAUAUUAUUAGUUACUGUUAUGUAAGAGAGUAUAAAUGCCGUUACUGGUCAAUGUUUUACAACAGAGUUUAGUUAUUGUAGAGAAUAUUGUCAUGUCAUGUAAGCUUAGAUGUUUACAGUGCAUAUGUACAUUACUGUUGAUUCUUCACAAGAACUAAUUAUCGCUUGCAGAAGCACAUAUGUGUUAAAGGAAAAUAAGUGAAGUGUAUUAAGGCGUGCUUACCUGACAAAUCCCCAAAUGACUUCUUGAAUGGCUGCGGUAGUCCGACAAGAGAACUAUGAUUGUGAUGAAUGUCACAUCUGAAGUUAGUAAUACCUUUAACUUGUUCAUAAAAAAAUCCUUUUGCUGUGUGUCCUUAUAUGUAAGCAAAGUAUGUUUAAGCUCUUCUUUUGUAAUAGAUCCUCCAGGUGACCCCUUUGUCGAAUGCCAUAACAAGUUCGUUGCUGAAGGAAAGUCACUGGAGUGUGUCUGCGAGGCUCGUUUUCCUGACAGUCGACCUGAUGACUUCUCACUGACAUGGCCGCCACACUCCAACAACAGCACGAUGAAAGUGAUGAAAGUCACUCGUGAAGAUAACAGUAUGGUCUUCACCUGUCUGAUGACAUGGUGCGGACAUAAGAGGACCACAAACUACACCUGCUCGUGGCCUAUGGCCCAGACAGCGAGCACACAGUGAUACAUGGUCCUAAUAAUUCAUUUAUCACUGAUGGGACACUGAGUCUUAAUUUAACUUGCCUGGCGACUGAGGUGUACCCUGCUCCACGAUAUACCUGGGACGGUCUCACCUGUCAGAAUAACGACUCUGACCAAGGGACCUGUGAGGUAAAGCCAACACCACCAGGUGAUGAUGGACGACAAGUAGAGUGCACAGCGAGAAGCACUGCAGGGGAUUACAAUAAGGGUACAGCAAGGCACAGGUUAUAGCCUCACAUAUCCACCACCAAAACCACCUCUCAUUAACAUCAAGAACCAGACAGUGGGAGACGGCGAUGUCAUUCACUGCAUUGUGUCGGAAGGAAAGCCGUUAGUGACGUCAGUUAACUUCACCUGUUUGACUGACCCCCCACACCACGAUCUGCCAGACACCAGGACAUCAUCAUCUGUGUUCAGUUCCUUGGUCAUCGACAGUACUAAGGUCAAAGAGAAUAUUACUGAAUGUGUCUGCCAUGCUGUCUGGACGCCGAAAGAAGAAUGGUAUUCAAACAGUUCAUCUGUCUUCCUCUUCAUACAAACACAUGACAAAGAUGAUUUAUAUUUCCAAGCGAUUAUUUUUGGAGCAUCUGGAGGUUGUGGUGCUCUAGUUAUUGUCCUCAUCAUCAUCAUUAUAGUCCUCGCCAGAAGUAAGACCCGCAGGAAAGACAUGAAAGAUGGUCGCCACAGCGCAUGGUACACCUAUGAACAUACAGAGGUAAGAGAUCCUCAGGGAACAAACGGGACUGAUGGAGACUACUUCACCCAUAGGUCCGCUAGAGGAAGCGUGAGAGGAUGGCGCUCAUAUACAGUCUCGCAGGUGAAUUCAGAAGCACAUGGACCACAAAACAAUGGCGGGACAUUUCUCGCAACAAGCCCGAGGACACUGGCAACCACUGAUAAAACUGUUUUGCAAGGAAAGGAGCUUCUCAGAGCUGCUCCAACAUAAACUUCUCACUCAAGCCUCCUGUAUCUCAGUGGCAAGGGGAUGAAAACAAUUACACAACUCAAGAGAUGGAGUAUCCUUACGAGGAAGAUGAGUACACUUACUCCGUAUUACGAGAGGAUGAGGGAGACACGUACGACAACAACUCAUCCCGUAUGCCCGAGUGUUUGAGGCAAGAGGUCAGCCAUUGUGAUAUAGAUAACAGCAACUGUCUUGCGGAAGAUGUUCUUGGGAAGGUAUUGUCCACCAGUAGCGAAUUCCGAGACAAUGAAAACAAUGGAACAGGACACACAUCGCCAUUUUUGAGUGGUACAAAAGACACGUCUAAAUUUUUGGACACACGAGCUGAACUAAUCAAGGUAUUGGAGACCAGAGCAAAGAACCUUACGGGCCAAUCAAAAACGAAUGUCAACAAAGGAAGUUUAGAAAACAUCUUCGUUGAACAAUCCAGGAGAAAACCGACUCCUAAACCCAGGGCCGAUCUUCUUGGAAGGAGGGUUUCGAGGAGCUGCUCCAACCUUUGCUUUGAACUACAGAAGCUGACGCCCACGCUGACGAGCACUGACGAUAAUGACGAGACAUGGGAGCGAGACAUGUCCACUGAUUAUGAUGACUGUUUCUUUACUCAGAUGCCAUCAGAGAGUAAAACAAACCCACAAGACGGGGAGAAUAAGUGUUGUUAUUUCACUCUCGAAGAAGACGAGUAUUCUACGGGGUAUGUCCCUUCAAAACAAGGGCAGACUACUGGACCUUUGGAUGGGCAGCGCGAGAGAAAGAAACACAUGAAGCCGCAUGGUUCUGCCACUUUACAACCUGGACAAGACAUGUUUGCUGAACUUAUCAAGAGAUUUGAGGGCACAGCAAGCAGCGCCACCAAUCAUACUUCAAACAUCAAAGGAAGCCUAGAAAACAUCUUGCGAGAACAAUCUCGGAAGAAACCAGCUCUUCUCCCUAAACCCGUCCUGCGUGGAAGAAGGUCUUCUCGGAGCUGCUCCAACCUUCUGCUUGGGAUCCAGAAACCGAAACCUUCAGAUGGCGAGAGUUGAACAUCAUCACGAGGCACGAAAGCGAGACAUGCCCAUUGGUUAUGAUGAAUAUUACUGUUCGCAGACAUCAUUCCACGGAUUCCUAGAUAAUGGCACAAUGUCCCGCUCGACCAAGAUUUGUCAACAGGC
Molecule: RNA transcript, 3614 nt
Organism: Pomacea canaliculata
Lineage: Eukaryota; Metazoa; Mollusca; Gastropoda; Architaenioglossa; Ampullariidae
Exons: 10
Source: RefSeq, a predicted model, not a curated record